This 281-nucleotide ribosomal RNA is filed under the name bacterium M00.F.Ca.ET.179.01.1.1. Its description in RNAcentral is "partial 23S ribosomal RNA". It matches the Rfam family "Bacterial large subunit ribosomal RNA", at positions 440 to 724 of the family's 2925-position model. The record is from RNAcentral.
GAAUCCGGGAGGACCAUCUCCCAAGGCUAAAUACUCUCUAGUGACCGAUAGUGAACCAGUACCGUGAGGGAAAGGUGAAAAGUACCCCGGAAGGGGAGUGAAAGAGAACUUGAAACCGUGUGCUUACAAGUAGUCAGAGCCCGUUAAUGGGUGAUGGCGUGCCUUUUGUAGAAUGAACCGGCGAGUUAUGAUUUGAUGCAAGGUUAAGCAGUGAAUGUGGAGCCGUAGCGAAAGCGAGUCUGAAUAGGGCGUUGAGUAUUUGGGCGUAGACCCGAAACCAG